Molecule: ribosomal RNA, 218 nt
Filed under: uncultured bacterium
Lineage: Bacteria
Description: partial 16S ribosomal RNA
Rfam family: Bacterial small subunit ribosomal RNA
Source: RNAcentral
ACUCCUACGGGAGGCAGCAGUGGGAAUCUUGGACAAUGGGGGCAACCCUGAUCCAGCCAUGCCGCGUGAGUGAUGAAGGCCUUAGGGUCGUAAAGCUCUUUCGCCUGUGGAAGAAUAAUGACGGUACGCAGGUAAAGAAACCCCGGCUAACUCCCGUGCCAGCAGCCGCGGUAAUACGGAGGGGUUAGCGUUGUUCGGAAGUUACUGGGCGUAAAGCG